RNAcentral lists this ribosomal RNA (1535 nucleotides) under Escherichia coli. RNAcentral describes it as "bacterial SSU rRNA". It matches the Rfam family "Bacterial small subunit ribosomal RNA". The record is from RNAcentral. Lineage: Bacteria; Pseudomonadati; Pseudomonadota; Gammaproteobacteria; Enterobacterales; Enterobacteriaceae.
AAGAGUUUGAUCAUGGCUCAGAUUGAACGCUGGCGGCAGGCCUAACACAUGCAAGUCGAACGGUAACAGGAAGCAGCUUGCUGCUUUGCUGACGAGUGGCGGACGGGUGAGUAAUGUCUGGGAAACUGCCUGAUGGAGGGGGAUAACUACUGGAAACGGUAGCUAAUACCGCAUAACGUCGCAAGACCAAAGAGGGGGACCUUAGGGCCUCUUGCCAUCGGAUGUGCCCAGAUGGGAUUAGCUAGUAGGUGGGGUAACGGCUCACCUAGGCGACGAUCCCUAGCUGGUCUGAGAGGAUGACCAGCCACACUGGAACUGAGACACGGUCCAGACUCCUACGGGAGGCAGCAGUGGGGAAUAUUGCACAAUGGGCGCAAGCCUGAUGCAGCCAUGCCGCGUGUAUGAAGAAGGCCUUCGGGUUGUAAAGUACUUUCAGCGGGGAGGAAGGGAGUAAAGUUAAUACCUUUGCUCAUUGACGUUACCCGCAGAAGAAGCACCGGCUAACUCCGUGCCAGCAGCCGCGGUAAUACGGAGGGUGCAAGCGUUAAUCGGAAUUACUGGGCGUAAAGCGCACGCAGGCGGUUUGUUAAGUCAGAUGUGAAAUCCCCGGGCUCAACCUGGGAACUGCAUCUGAUACUGGCAAGCUUGAGUCUCGUAGAGGGGGGUAGAAUUCCAGGUGUAGCGGUGAAAUGCGUAGAGAUCUGGAGGAAUACCGGUGGCGAAGGCGGCCCCCUGGACGAAGACUGACGCUCAGGUGCGAAAGCGUGGGGAGCAAACAGGAUUAGAUACCCUGGUAGUCCACGCCGUAAACGAUGUCGACUUGGAGGUUGUGCCCUUGAGGCGUGGCUUCCGGAGCUAACGCGUUAAGUCGACCGCCUGGGGAGUACGGCCGCAAGGUUAAAACUCAAAUGAAUUGACGGGGGCCCGCACAAGCGGUGGAGCAUGUGGUUUAAUUCGAUGCAACGCGAAGAACCUUACCUGGUCUUGACAUCCACGGAAGUUUUCAGAGAUGAGAAUGUGCCUUCGGGAACCGUGAGACAGGUGCUGCAUGGCUGUCGUCAGCUCGUGUUGUGAAAUGUUGGGUUAAGUCCCGCAACGAGCGCAACCCUUAUCCUUUGUUGCCAGCGGUCCGGCCGGGAACUCAAAGGAGACUGCCAGUGAUAAACUGGAGGAAGGUGGGGAUGACGUCAAGUCAUCAUGGCCCUUACGACCAGGGCUACACACGUGCUACAAUGGCGCAUACAAAGAGAAGCGACCUCGCGAGAGCAAGCGGACCUCAUAAAGUGCGUCGUAGUCCGGAUUGGAGUCUGCAACUCGACUCCAUGAAGUCGGAAUCGCUAGUAAUCGUGGAUCAGAAUGCCACGGUGAAUACGUUCCCGGGCCUUGUACACACCGCCCGUCACACCAUGGGAGUGGGUUGCAAAAGAAGUAGGUAGCUUAACCUUCGGGAGGGCGCUUACCACUUUGUGAUUCAUGACUGGGGUGAAGUCGUAACAAGGUAACCGUAGGGGAACCUGCGGUUGGAUCACCUCCUU